CUUGCCGGCAGCAGCGCCUCCCUCCCUCCCUGCCUGCCGCCGCCCGGAGCAGCGCCACCGACGGCUCCAUAGGCAGAAAUUCCAGCUAGGGCAUGGAACACAAGAAAGCUUGAGCAAAUCAUCAUGUGCAUGCUCAAAGGCUUAGUUAACAAGGGUGACAAUAAGAUGUGUGGACAAUUAAUUGCCAGGUGGCUAACUUGAUGGUUUUAUUGUUGUUGCAUAUGUGUGAAAUUUCUUUCCUCACUACCCUUGCUGGCAAAGAAAUAUUCAGUUAUUCUAUUUCAUAUUACACGUCCUGUUUCCUUUUAUUCUCUAUAUAUGCACAAAUUAUUUGAUGACAAUGACUCAUGGAUGGAAAUAAAACACCAACGGGAAUGAUGUACUCUUUUUA
This is a long non-coding RNA of Triticum dicoccoides, 391 nucleotides long. RefSeq lists it as uncharacterized. The record is from RefSeq and is a predicted model, not a curated record. NCBI's taxonomy places the organism in Eukaryota, Viridiplantae, Streptophyta, Magnoliopsida, Poales, Poaceae. The transcript is spliced from 2 exons.